RNAcentral lists this unclassified non-coding RNA (751 nucleotides) under Leishmania donovani. RNAcentral's name for it is "gene:unknown". The record is from RNAcentral. Lineage: Eukaryota; Euglenozoa; Kinetoplastea; Trypanosomatida; Trypanosomatidae.
UUCUUCUGUUCCUCCUCCUUGCUUGCUUGUGCUUUUGGCGAUGAUGGCGCAUGGCCUUCCUGUCUCUCUUGUCGCCAUCCGCUUCGCUGGAUGGCUUCUUUUUCCUUGUCGUUUGUACCCGCCUUUCUCGUGAGCGCAUAUCCCUUAACCAUCGAGCGUCUCUCUUUUGCCACCUGCUCUUGUGCGCCUGCACACAAGCACACGUGUGUGUGUGUGUGUGUGUGUGUGUGUGUGUGUGUGUGCGAAAGCCACGAAACGUACGCUGGAAUCGGAUUUGGGGUUUCGUUGAAACAUAGGGGGAGGACAGGUCUAGCGUCCAUUGUGCCCGUCUGUUUUAUCGGCCUUGUGUGCGGGUGUCUGCUGUUGCGUGUGCAUGUCCGAGCCCCGUACUCGCCGUUUGGGCCCUUGUGGGAUGCGCCUCCCUUGCCUGCUCCCUCCCUCUAUGAAGCGCCAGCUCCGCUGGAUAACAACAACCAAGUAGAGGAACAAAACCACUUCUGCUCCAUCUGAACGUCACAAUUGCUUCGUGGGAGUCAGCACCUCUGCCCGGCAUCAGCCUCCCCUCCCCCUGCCUUCAUCGUAUGAUGGGGGAAGGAGGUGGGGGCGCUCGCCGUGAGCCACGACCUAUACACGCGAUACGACGCGCACGUCGCCCACGGAAAAUAUGCGGCUCCUUCCCCCACUUUACCUCUCUCGUGAAACGCACACACCUCUGUCAUCAUCCGCCACCCACCUGCCCACCCCCCACCAG